UACGUAGGCCCCGAGCGUUGUCCGGAUUUAUUGGGCGUAAAGCGAGCGCAGGUGGUUUAUUAAGUCUGGUGUAAAAGGCAGUGGCUCAACCAUUGUAUGCAUUGGAAACUGGUAGACUUGAGUGCAGGAGAGGAGAGUGGAAUUCCAUGUGUAGCGGUGAAAUGCGUAGAUAUAUGGAGGAACACCGGUGGCGAAAGCGGCUCUCUGGUCUGUAACUGACGCUGAGGUUCGAAAGCGUGGGUAGCAAACAGG
RNAcentral lists this ribosomal RNA (252 nucleotides) under uncultured bacterium. RNAcentral describes it as "partial 16S ribosomal RNA". It matches the Rfam family "Bacterial small subunit ribosomal RNA", at positions 524 to 776 of the family's 1533-position model. The record is from RNAcentral.